RNAcentral lists this small nuclear RNA (196 nucleotides) under Solanum tuberosum (potato). Its description in RNAcentral is "snRNA U2". It matches the Rfam family "U2 spliceosomal RNA". Rfam says of the family: U2 is a small nuclear RNA (snRNA) component of the spliceosome (involved in pre-mRNA splicing). Complementary binding between U2 snRNA (in an area lying towards the 5' end but 3' to hairpin I) and the branchpoint sequence (BPS) of the intron results the bulging out of an unpaired adenosine, on the BPS, which initiates a nucleophilic attack at the intronic 5' splice site, thus starting the first of two transesterification reactions that mediate splicing. The record is from Rfam by way of RNAcentral. Lineage: Eukaryota; Viridiplantae; Streptophyta; Magnoliopsida; Solanales; Solanaceae.
AUACCUUUCUCGGCCUUUUGGCUAAGAUCAAGUGUAGUAUCUGUUCUUAUCAGUUUAAUAUCUGAUAUGUGAGUCAUCGACUCACACGAUAUUAACUCUAUUUUUUGAGGGGGAAGGUCCACCACGGUAGCUUGCUAUCGAGACCUUCAAGUGUCGCCUAGGUGUUGCACUACUGCCUUGGCCUGGCACACCCCAC